This 22-nucleotide non-coding RNA is filed under the name Arabidopsis thaliana (thale cress). The record is from RNAcentral. Lineage: Eukaryota; Viridiplantae; Streptophyta; Magnoliopsida; Brassicales; Brassicaceae.
GAUCAGGUAGCGCUGGAUCCGA